CACAAUAGCCUACCAAGUGAGCCACAUUAACAUGGUGGAUUCUCCCCAUUGAUCCCACUUCAUUAAUGAACUCUUCACCAUUUCCUUUGGAAUUGUUGAGGAUCUUAACAGCUACAAAGACAUCAUUGGAAAGUUUUCCUUUGAACACAGUGCCAUAACCUCCUUGUCCCAAUUUGUCCUUGAAUUGGUUUGUUAUGCUUUGUAUAUCAGCAUAAGUGUAUCUUGUGGGUUUUAGAGCC
This is a long non-coding RNA of Quercus robur (English oak), 239 nucleotides long. RefSeq lists it as uncharacterized. NCBI's taxonomy places the organism in Eukaryota, Viridiplantae, Streptophyta, Magnoliopsida, Fagales, Fagaceae. The transcript has 2 exons. The record is from RefSeq and is a predicted model, not a curated record.